CCUACGGGAGGCAGCAGUGGGGAAUAUUGGACAAUGGGGGGAACCCUGAUCCAGCCAUGCCGCGUGUGUGAAGAAGGCCCUCGGGUUGUAAAGCACUUUCAGUGAGGAAGAACGCCUGGUGGUUAAUACCCAUCAGGAAAGACAUCACUCACAGAAGAAGCACCGGCUAACUCCGUGCCAGCAGCCGCGGUAAUACGGAGGGUGCGAGCGUUAAUCGGAAUUACUGGGCGUAAAGCGCGCGUAGGUGGCUUGAUAAGCCGGUUGUGAAAGCCCCGGGCUCAACCUGGGAACGGCAUCCGGAACUGUCAAGCUAGAGUGCAGGAGAGGAAGGUAGAAUUCCCGGUGUAGCGGUGAAAUGCGUAGGGAUCGGGAGGAAUACCAGUGGCGAAGGCGGCCUUCUGGACUGACACUGACACUGAGGUGCGAAAGCGUGGGUAGCAAACAGGAUUAGAUACCCUGGUAGUC
RNAcentral lists this ribosomal RNA (465 nucleotides) under Vreelandella stevensii. Its description in RNAcentral is "partial 16S ribosomal RNA". It matches the Rfam family "Bacterial small subunit ribosomal RNA", at positions 338 to 795 of the family's 1533-position model. Lineage: Bacteria; Pseudomonadati; Pseudomonadota; Gammaproteobacteria; Oceanospirillales; Halomonadaceae. The record is from RNAcentral.